Molecule: long non-coding RNA, 967 nt
Organism: Oncorhynchus tshawytscha (Chinook salmon)
Lineage: Eukaryota; Metazoa; Chordata; Actinopteri; Salmoniformes; Salmonidae
Exons: 3
Source: RefSeq, a predicted model, not a curated record
GCAAAGUGGAACAGAGGAAAGGAGGGAGCCAGGAAGGGAGAUGGAAGGAGAGGGGAGUAAGGCCAAGUGCGCACCACCGGCAAUCCGAAUGGGAUUUAAGGUGGUUUAAAAUGUACAGACUGAAGCCGUGGCUAUAUAAUACGCCACAUGGUUAGUCGAAUAUCCUUUAAUUAAAUCUAAGGGCUAAAAAUGUUUGUGCAUAUUUAGUCUAUACUAGUCUACAGCAUUAUGUGUGUUUUUCUGAGCCAACUCCACCAGGACCUCGAUGACCCAAUGGGUCUGGAGGGAGAGGAGGCCAGGUGGAGAAGACCAACACCAGGGAACAGUUCUGGGUUUGGUUCAGAGAGGAGGUAAAACAUUUGUUUUCAAAUGCUGUGAUGAAACCAAUGUUACAUCACGUGUGUUGGAUAAAUUAAAACUAAUAGCUAUGAAUCACUUAUUUUCUAUGUUGUGCUGUAAUUUAGUUAUGGAUCCAUGUCUUGUUGGCCUCCAGGACAGCCUAAACUGGAGGGUCCAACACCUGGAGAUUCUGGGGGCCUCAGUCUGCAUUCUCUAGUGAGAGGAUAAACACCUUUAACCUGACCCUCCUCUCUAGGCAGUUCUUGCAAGCGUCAGAGGCUGCUGUGCUAUAAGAGUGGCCCUCUUACAAGCAACGUGCUAGUUGGAAAAUUGAAGGGAUUGGACCAGCUGACAGCAAUGACAAAGCUGGCCUCGCAGUUUGGUCAAAACAGACUUGAGGAACAGACUGCAGGGAGAGCAUCUAUCCACCUGCAUGCAGCUCUCCAUCAAUGGCCCUCCCAUCAAGGAGCUCAAUUACAGGAGGGCGUUGGAAAUCUUUUUCCAAAAGCCCAGAAGAAUAAAGUGCUCUGACAAGGGCUGUAAACUAUGUUAGAACUAGGUUUGGACUCUAAUUCAUGUUCAGUCUCAUGUUCCUCUGUUCUGUCCAGAUAAACUUUUUUUUUCUUUU